UACGUAGGGGGCGAGCGUUGUCCGGAUUUAUUGGGCGUAAAGAGCGUGUAGGCGGCCAGGUAGGUCUGCUGUGAAAACUCGAGGCUCAACCUCGAGACGUCGGCGGAAACCAUCUGGCUAGAGUCCGGAAGAGGAGAGUGGAAUUCCUGGUGUAGCGGUGAAAUGCGUAGAGAUCGGGAGGAACACCAGAGGCGAAGGCGGCGACCUGGACAGGUACUGACACUCAACUACGAAAGCGUGGGGAGCAAACAGG
This 253-nucleotide ribosomal RNA is filed under the name uncultured bacterium. Its description in RNAcentral is "partial 16S ribosomal RNA". It matches the Rfam family "Bacterial small subunit ribosomal RNA", at positions 524 to 776 of the family's 1533-position model. The record is from RNAcentral.